AGCGAACGCUGGCGGCAGGCUUAACACAUGCAAGUCGAGCGGGCGUAGCAAUACGUCAGCGGCAGACGGGUGAGUAACGCGUGGGAACAUACCUUUUGGUUCGGAACAACACAGGGAAACUUGUGCUAAUACCGGAUAAGCCCUUACGGGGAAAGAUUUAUCGCCGAAAGAUUGGCCCGCGUCUGAUUAGCUAGUUGGUAGGGUAAUGGCCUACCAAGGCGACGAUCAGUAGCUGGUCUGAGAGGAUGAUCAGCCACAUUGGGACUGAGACACGGCCCAAACUCCUACGGGAGGCAGCAGUGGGGAAUAUUGGACAAUGGGCGCAAGCCUGAUCCAGCCAUGCCGCGUGAGUGAUGAAGGCCCCAGGGUUGUAAAGCUCUUUUGUGCGGGAAGAUAAUGACGGUACCGCAAGAAUAGGCCCCGGCUAACUUCGUGCCAGCAGCCGCGGUAAU
Molecule: ribosomal RNA, 452 nt
Filed under: uncultured bacterium
Lineage: Bacteria
Description: bacterial SSU rRNA
Rfam family: Bacterial small subunit ribosomal RNA
Source: RNAcentral